UGGGGAAUAUUGGGCAAUGGGCGAAAGCCUGACCCAGCGACGCCGCGUGAGGGAAGAAGGUCUUCGGAUUGUAAACCUUAGUUAGCAGGGAAGAAGAAAGUGACGGUACCUGCAGAGAAAGCCACGGCUAACUACGUGCCAGCAGCCGCGGUAAUACGUAGGUUGCAAGCGUUGUCCGGAUUUACUGGGUGUAAAGGGCGUGUAGGCGGAGAUGCAAGUUGGGAGUGAAAUCCCGGGGCUCAACCCCGGAACUGCUUUCAAAACUGUAUCCCUUGAGUAUCGGAGAGGCAAGCGGAAUUCCUAGUGUAGCGGUGAAAUGCGUAGAUAUUAGGAGGAACACCAGUGGCGAAGGCGGCUUGCUGGACGACAACUGACGCUGAGGCGCGAAAGCGUGGGGAGCAAACAGGAUUAGAUACCCUGGUAGU
This 425-nucleotide ribosomal RNA is filed under the name uncultured Oscillospiraceae bacterium. RNAcentral describes it as "bacterial SSU rRNA". It matches the Rfam family "Bacterial small subunit ribosomal RNA", at positions 355 to 794 of the family's 1533-position model. The record is from RNAcentral. Lineage: Bacteria; Bacillati; Bacillota; Clostridia; Eubacteriales; Oscillospiraceae.